AGCUUAUGUAAUCAAGGAAAAAUUUGCAGUGUUUAUUGCAAUGGAAACUAAAGUUAGGCGAAAUUAAAAGUGUCGUAGGGUGAAUGUCAAUGUUCUCUUCGCCUUAAACAAUACUGUGAUCGCCGCAAUAUCGUUACCAUUAUUUCAAUGCGACCUAUAUUCAAUUUAACCUUAGGUAAAAUUAAAAACGCCCCACUUUCAUUUCGGUAUUCGGCAAUGCCGGCGUGGAACAACAGGCUUCGGUUUAGGUCCUAAAUGCUUGUGUGUAUCGGUGUGUGUGUAUCGGUUCCUCUGUCAAUACAUAAUUAUUUUAUUCUGUGAGUACAUUAUUUUUUAUAUAAUACCUAAUAUGAAUAAUUUGCUGGUGUUCUAGGGGUUGGACUCCUUGAAACAAAUCUUUGCAGAUUCUAAAGUAGCGUUGCAAAUCGCAUCCCUGCCGCGUAUCUUCCCACCAAAAGGUCGCUCGAGAUUGGGAAAAGAACACUGGAAGUAUACCACGAAUGAAUCUGUGGAAGGAAUAAUUAUCCAUGCUACAGCACCAGGAGAUAUAGAAAGUAAAAUACAAACUCAAAUUGAUAAAGCUGCUAGAAGAAAAGUACAUAGGGAAGUGCAACCCUAUUUAAUAGUUGAAGGCCCACAAUUGACCGACAUCAGGAAUACGUAUGUUGUAAUAAUUGAUAAAAUUCAUUAAUCUGCUUGGAAUUUUGAGAAUUUGAUGGAAUGGUUGAUUUGAUUUAAGAAUAAUACAUUCUAAAUUUUAUAAUAAAUAUUUAAUUAAUAAUU
Anthonomus grandis grandis is the source of this 783-nucleotide long non-coding RNA. RefSeq lists it as uncharacterized. The record is from RefSeq and is a predicted model, not a curated record. NCBI's taxonomy places the organism in Eukaryota, Metazoa, Arthropoda, Insecta, Coleoptera, Curculionidae. The transcript is spliced from 3 exons.